RNAcentral lists this ribosomal RNA (465 nucleotides) under uncultured bacterium. RNAcentral's name for it is "partial 16S ribosomal RNA". It matches the Rfam family "Bacterial small subunit ribosomal RNA", at positions 28 to 507 of the family's 1533-position model. The record is from RNAcentral.
GACGAACGCUGGCGGCGUGCUUAACACAUGCAAGUCGAACGGAAAGGCCCUGCUUGCAGGGUACUCGAGUGGCGAACGGGUGAGUAACACGUGGGUGAUCUGCCCUGCACUUCGGGAUAAGCUUGGGAAACUGGGUCUAAUACCGGAUAGGACCGCACUUUAGUGUGUGUGGUGGAAAGUUUUUUCGGUGUAGGAUGAGCUCGCGGCCUAUCAGCUUGUUGGUGGGGUAAUGGCCUACCAAGGCGGCGACGGGUAGCCGGCCUGAGAGGGUGUACGGCCACAUUGGGACUGAGAUACGGCCCAGACUCCUACGGGAGGCAGCAGUGGGGAAUAUUGCACAAUGGGCGCAAGCCUGAUGCAGCGACGCCGCGUGGGGGAUGAAGGCCUUCGGGUUGUAAACUCCUUUCGCUAGGGACGAAGCUUUUUGUGACGGUACCUAGAGAAGAAGCACCGGCUAACUACGUG